GCUCUUUGAUUUUUGUUAUAAAGAGUCGGGCCUGCCCGGUGAGUGAUUUAACGGCUGCAAUGAGAAUUGUACUAAGGUAGCGUGAUAGUUUGUUUUUUAAUUGGAAAAUGGAAUGAAUGGUUUAACGUAAAAAAUCUGUCUAUUUAAAAUAAAGUGAAGUUUCCUUUUAAGUUAAAAGGCUUAAUUUUUUGUAAAAGACGAGAAGACCCUGCGAGCUUGAAUAUAAAUAAUGAUUUUUUUAUUUUAAAGUUUUGUUGGGGCAAUAUAAGAUAAAAUAAACAUCUUAUUAAAAUAAAAAUCCUUUUUGAAAGAAAAUAGAAGAAGCUACCGCAGGGAUAACAGCGUUAUUUUUUCUAAGAGAUCUUAUUGAGGAAAAAGUUUGCGACCUCGAUGUUGGAUUAGAGGAACUGUGUGGUGUAGCAGCUACAGCUGGUAAGACUGUUCGUCUUUUAAAUCUUU
This 459-nucleotide ribosomal RNA is filed under the name Placamen calophylla. Its description in RNAcentral is "partial large subunit ribosomal RNA". It matches the Rfam family "Bacterial large subunit ribosomal RNA", at positions 1818 to 2597 of the family's 2925-position model. Lineage: Eukaryota; Metazoa; Mollusca; Bivalvia; Venerida; Veneridae. RNAcentral also lists the same sequence under 1 other name. The record is from RNAcentral.